CCGGGCCCAAUUUUUUUUUUCUUUUUUUCUCAAGACAAGAAGGAAUUCGCUCCAUUUUCAUUCUUCACUAACUGGAAAUAGGAAAAAAAAAACCUGUGAACGGAAAUUAGGGCUCUCAAGUUGCAAUUUCGGUUGCAGAUUGGGGUGGUACCGUUGCAAUUGCAAUAAUUUUUGAAGAGGAAAAAAAAGAUUCGGACCACUUCCGAAGUAGUUCCUUAACCCCGAUUAGUCAUUUGCAUCCUCCAAUUUUGAUGGAAUAUGUUUAAUCUAUGAUUUCGUUCUCUUAAUGCUUUGAAGUUUAUCUAGGGUUUGCUAUUGCAAUUUGGUAUCAGAAGAUUGAUUAACCUUUAUCUAUGGCCCGAGCACGCAAUCUAAUUGUCGCUGUGGGUUUAGUUGCUUUCGCUGCAGCAGGCAUGACAUUUCCCUUCUACAUGGCUUCAUCAAGGAAACCUGUUAUUGACCCAACAAAGCCACUUCCACCACAAGCAACUUUUCUAGGGCCUUACAUUAACACAGGGUCGCGUGAUGUUGGUCCCCAGAAGAAAUGAAGCAAGUUCAGUUAUUUGAUCAAGCUCAUAUAUGUGCUCAUUGUCUGAGGUUAAAUUUUUAUACCUCAGUUUGGUGGAUCAUGACUUUGAAGGAAACUAUGGAUGGGAAAUUUUUUCUGUAAGAGGUGUUACACAAUCUGUAUGUAUGGUUUAUGUUGAUCUUAGCAAUUUUAAUAAAAAGCUGAAUGAUGUUAAUUAUCAUGUCACGUUUAUUGCCUGUCUUGUCUUGUGAGUUGUGACCAUACCACAACAACAACAAAAGUCCUGUUCCACUAGCCGAGGUCAGCUACAAUUACAUGACACUGAAUAUUGUUUAUUAUGAUAUUCCUCUUAACAAAUUCUCUCCCUUUUCAUAGAACUAUAAAUAAUGUAAUUUGCUCUCUUCACUAAUACCUCCAGUGACCUUUUUUGCACUUCUCUUUCUUUGUCUUGUGACCAUACAGUGGCAAAAAAUUUAAGCUCUGUAGCAACCUGCACCUUUGUGCAAAGCUUAGUUUGUGAUUGGAUUUGAGAUUGCAAACAUGGUUUUGGCUUAGUUUGCGAUUGGAUUUGAGAUUGUAAACAUGGUUUUGUAUAGCUGGUGCAAUACUCUUAAUGUAAUUAGUUGCUGCUUCUUGUAAAACUCAGCGGUACAAAUCCACACACACGAUUAUAGUUGCUGGCUUGCUGCCAAUUACACAGGUUUGUACAUUGAUUUCAUGGAAGAUUGGCUUACGCUUGCAUUGCUGUGUGUACAUUAAAACUUAACUGUAUUCAGGCGACUGACUGCAGUUGUAUUCUUAUGGCAAGUUUGUUUCAAUUUAUGGCAAGUUUGUUUCUAUGUGCAUUUUGAUUCUUCUAGUUUUAGUACUCACAUUUGG
Long non-coding RNA from Glycine soja, 1408 nucleotides. RefSeq lists it as uncharacterized. The record is from RefSeq and is a predicted model, not a curated record. The transcript has 3 exons. NCBI's taxonomy places the organism in Eukaryota, Viridiplantae, Streptophyta, Magnoliopsida, Fabales, Fabaceae.